GAUGAACGCUGGCGGCGUGCCUAAUACAUGCAAGUCGAGCGAAUGGAUUAAGAGCUUGCUCUUAUGAAGUUAGCGGCGGACGGGUGAGUAACACGUGGGUAACCUGCCCAUAAGACUGGGAUAACUCCGGGAAACCGGGGCUAAUACCGGAUAACAUUUUGAACCGCAUGGUUCGAAAUUGAAAGGCGGCUUCGGCUGUCACUUAUGGAUGGACCCGCGUCGCAUUAGCUAGUUGGUGAGGUAACGGCUCACCAAGGCAACGAUGCGUAGCCGACCUGAGAGGGUGGUAGGCCACCCUGGGACUGAGAAACGGCCCAGACUCCUACGGGAGGCAGCAGUAGGGAAUCUUCCGCAAUGGACGAAAGUCUGACGGAGCAACGCCGCGUGAGUGAUGAAGGCUUUCGGGUCGUAAAACUCUGUUGUUAGGGAAGAACAAGUGCUAGUUGAAUAAGCUGGCACCUUGACGGUACCUAACCAGAAAGCCACGGCUAACUACGUGCCAGCAGCCGCGGUAA
This 515-nucleotide ribosomal RNA is filed under the name uncultured bacterium. RNAcentral's name for it is "partial 16S ribosomal RNA". It matches the Rfam family "Bacterial small subunit ribosomal RNA", at positions 28 to 523 of the family's 1533-position model. The record is from RNAcentral.